CUGCCAUUUAGGAGUUAAAUCCCUUUGUUUAUGAACCCUAGUCACACCUCCCUGCAUGUGACUUGCACAUCCUUCCAUAAACACUUCCUGUAAAGAGAGCCCUAUUUAGGCUUUCUUUAUUGCAAGUUCUGUUUAAUUAAGAUUUUCUUAUCCCCUGCUAUGUUAAUAGCUUGCUAGACCCUGCAAGAGCCUCCUGAUUGUGAUUAAGUUCAAUUUAGAGAUUGAGAUACAAUUAUUUAAGGUAAAUUACAUCUGUUUGAAAGUGAAACCAGUUUUUUUUUUUCUUCAUGCAGGCUCUGUCAAUCAUAGCCAGGGGAGGUGUGGCUAGGGCUGCAUAAACAGAAACAAAGUGAUUUAACUCCUAAAUGACAGUGAAUUGAGCAGUGAAAUUGCAGGGGAAUGAU
Molecule: non-coding RNA, 404 nt
Organism: Pelobates cultripes (western spadefoot toad)
Lineage: Eukaryota; Metazoa; Chordata; Amphibia; Anura; Pelobatidae
Source: the annotation of a GenBank genome assembly